RNAcentral lists this ribosomal RNA (492 nucleotides) under uncultured bacterium. RNAcentral describes it as "partial 16S ribosomal RNA". It matches the Rfam family "Bacterial small subunit ribosomal RNA", at positions 29 to 507 of the family's 1533-position model. The record is from RNAcentral.
AGUGAACGCUGGCGGUAGGCCUAACACAUGCAAGUCGAACGGCAGCACAGUAAGAGCUUGCUCUUACGGGUGGCGAGUGGCGGACGGGUGAGGAAUACAUCGGAAUCUACUUUUUCGUGGGGGAUAACGUAGGGAAACUUACGCUAAUACCGCAUACGACCUACGGGUGAAAGCAGGGGAUCUUCGGACCUUGCGCGAUUGAAUGAGCCGAUGUCGGAUUAGCUAGUUGGCUGGGUAAAGGCCCACCAAGGCGACGAUCCGUAGCUGGUCUGAGAGGAUGAUCAGCCACACUGGAACUGAGACACGGUCCAGACUCCUACGGGAGGCAGCAGUGGGGAAUAUUGGACAAUGGGCGCAAGCCUGAUCCAGCCAUACCGCGUGAGUGAAGAAGGCCUUCGGAUUGUAAAGCCCUUUUGUUGGGAAAGAAAAGCAGCAGGUUAAUACCCCGCUGUUCUGACGGUACCCAAAGAAUAAGCACCGGCUAACUUCGUG